GCGGUAAGGCCCUUUCGGGGGUACACGAGCGGCGAACGGGUGAGUAACACGUGAGUAAUCUGCCCUUCACUUCGGGAUAACCGCCGGAAACGGUGGCUAAUACCGGAUACGACACGCUUUCGCAUGGGAUGUGUGUGGAAAGUUUUUUCGGUGGAGGAUGUGCUCGCGGCCUAUCAGCUUGUUGGUGAGGUAACGGCUCACCAAGGCUUCGACGGGUAGCCGGCCUGAGAGGGUGACCGGCCACACUGGGACUGAGACACGGCCCAGACUCCUACGGGAGGCAGCAGUGGGGAAUAUUGGACAAUGGGCGAAAGCCUGAUCCAGCAACGCCGCGUGAGGGAUGACGGCCUUCGGGUUGUAAACCUCUUUCAGUACCGACGAAGCGCCGAUGAAGGUGGUGACGGUAGGUACAGAAGAAGGACCGGCCAACUACGUGCCAGCAGCCGCGGUAAUACGUAGGGUCCGAGCGUUGUCCGGAAUUAUUGGGCGUAAAGGGCUCGUAGGCGGUUUGUCGCGUCGGGAGUGAAAACUUACAGCUUAACUGUGAGCGUGCUUCCGAUACGGGCAGACUUGAGGCAUUCAGGGGAGAACGGAAUUCCUGGUGUAGCGGUGAAAUGCGCAGAUAUCAGGAGGAACACCGGUGGCGAAGGCGGUUCUCUGGGAAUGUCCUGACGCUGAGGAGCGAAAGUGUGGGGAGCGAACAGGAUUAGAUACCCUGGUAGUCCACACCGUAAACGUUGGGCGCUAGGUGUGGGG
This 756-nucleotide ribosomal RNA is filed under the name Nocardioides sp. Its description in RNAcentral is "bacterial SSU rRNA". It matches the Rfam family "Bacterial small subunit ribosomal RNA", at positions 66 to 827 of the family's 1533-position model. Lineage: Bacteria; Bacillati; Actinomycetota; Actinomycetes; Propionibacteriales; Nocardioidaceae. The record is from RNAcentral.